RNAcentral lists this ribosomal RNA (591 nucleotides) under uncultured bacterium. RNAcentral's name for it is "bacterial SSU rRNA". It matches the Rfam family "Bacterial small subunit ribosomal RNA", at positions 102 to 680 of the family's 1533-position model. The record is from RNAcentral.
ACGGGUGAGUAACACGUAGGUAACCUGCCUUUAAGACUGGGAUAACUAUCGGAAACGAUAGCUAAGACCGGAUAACUGGUUUUCUCGCAUGAGAGAAUCAUAAAGCACGGAGCAAUCUGUGGCUUGAAGAUGGGCCUGCGGCGCAUUAGCUAGUUGGUGAGGUAACGGCUCACCAAGGCGACGAUGCGUAGCCGACCUGAGAGGGUGAACGGCCACACUGGGACUGAGACACGGCCCAGACUCCUACGGGAGGCAGCAGUAGGGAAUCUUCCGCAAUGGACGCAAGUCUGACGGAGCAACGCCGCGUGAGUGAUGAAGGUUUUCGGAUCGUAAAGCUCUGUUGCCCUAGACGAACAGCAAGGAGAGUAACUGCUCUUUGUGUGACGGUAUAGGAGAAGAAAGCCCCGGCUAACUACGUGCCAGCAGCCGCGGUAAUACGUAGGGGGCAAGCGUUGUCCGGAAUUAUUGGGCGUAAAGCGCGCGCAGGCGGUCAUUUAAGUCUGGUGUUUAAUCCUGGGGCUCAACCCCAGUUCGCAUCGGAAACUGGAUGACUUGAGUGUAGGAGAGGAAAGUGGAAUUCCACGUGUAGCG